AUUGAACGCUGGCGGCAUGCCUUACACAUGCAAGUCGAACGGUAACAGGUCUUCGGAUGCUGACGAGUGGCGAACGGGUGAGUAAUACAUCGGAACGUGCCUAGUAGUGGGGGAUAACUACUCGAAAGAGUGGCUAAUACCGCAUGAGAUCUACGGAUGAAAGCAGGGGAUCGCAAGACCUUGUGCUACUAGAGCGGCCGAUGGCAGAUUAGGUAGGUGGUGGGAUAAAAGCUUACCAAGCCGACGAUCUGUAGCUGGUCUGAGAGGACGAUCAGCCACACUGGGACUGAGACACGGCCCAGACUCCCACGGGAGGCAGCAGUGGGGAAUUUUGGACAAUGGGCGAAAGCCUGAUCCAGCAAUGCCGCGUGCAGGAUGAAGGCCUUCGGGUUGUAAACUGCUUUUGUACGGAACGAAAAGCCCCGGGUUAAUACCCUGGGGUCAUGACGGUACCGUAAGAAUAAGCACCGGCUUACUACGUGCCAGCCGCCGCGGUAA
This 498-nucleotide ribosomal RNA is filed under the name uncultured bacterium. RNAcentral's name for it is "partial 16S ribosomal RNA". It matches the Rfam family "Bacterial small subunit ribosomal RNA", at positions 30 to 523 of the family's 1533-position model. The record is from RNAcentral.